RNAcentral lists this ribosomal RNA (913 nucleotides) under Steinernema sp. PAK.S.S.97(A). RNAcentral's name for it is "eukaryotic LSU rRNA". It matches the Rfam family "Eukaryotic large subunit ribosomal RNA", at positions 78 to 984 of the family's 3401-position model. Lineage: Eukaryota; Metazoa; Nematoda; Chromadorea; Rhabditida; Steinernematidae. The record is from RNAcentral.
CYUUAGUAACGGCGAGUGAAACGGAAUUGGCUCAUCGUCAAAGCCGUGCUAGUUAACGCUGGCAUGGUAUUGUGACGUAUAGGGGCGGUCAUGUGCUUUUAGCUGGUGGUACGAAUUUCUUUUGACUGGGAAUCCAAAGCGGGUGCAAGACCCGUACGUGCUGUUAGCUUUUUGUACGCGAUCGUCUCUUUGAGUAGAGUUGUUUGAGAUCGCAGCUCGAAGUGGGUGGUAUUCUUCAUCUGAAGCUAAAUAUGACUACGAAUCCGAUAGCGAACAAGUACCGUGAGGGAAAGUUGCAAAGUACUUUGAAGAGAGAGUUUAAGAGGACGUGAAGCUGGUAUGGUGGAAGCAGAUAGAGAUGACGAACGAGCGUUGUAUUCAGAAUCGUAUCAUGUAUGCGGUUUGUUUUUACAGCCAAUGUGGGCUGGCGGUAUUGGUUAAAGCAAUGUGUUUGGCUUCGAUUGUGACCCUGUGGAGGGAUAAUCGCUCGAUGUGCGAUGCUUGGUAUAGCUAAUAUUAGCGCCGGUCUUGAAGUCAGUGGUCUAUCUGACCCGUCUUGAAACACGGACCAAGGAGUGUAGCGUUUACGCAAGUCUUAGAGUGUAUUGAAACUUAGAGGCAGAACGAAAGUGAAUAUAGCUGGAUCUAUUGAAUUGGGAUACGUUGUUUCUUGUGAAUGGCGUAGGACCAUGGUUUUAUCGCGACAGCUUGCUGUGCGGUGAAAAUUGAGCGUAAAUGGUGCGACCCGAAAGAUGGUGAACUAUGCCUGAGCAGGAUAAAGCCGGAGGAAACUCUGGUGGAAGUCCGAAGCGGUUCUGACGUGCAAAUCGAUCGCCUGACUUGGGUAUAGGGGCGAAAGACUAAUCGAACUAUCUAGUAGCUGGUUCCCUUUGAAGUUUCCUCAGGAUAGCUG